GGAGAAUGCUGGCUGUGCAAGUCUCCGAAGGGGCGAGAUUUCUUCGCCUCUGAGUUCCAAGGUGAAGCCGUUCAGAAGGGUAGUUGUAAAGGGGAGGCCACUGGGCUGUGCGUAGUCGUCAUAUCCAGGGGGAUGAUUAAAUGUCUCGGAUGGUGUUGGAAACAUACUGAGAGAGCUCACACAUCCCUUUCCAAACUGGGACCACAUGCUAAUAGAGGAGGUUAAUCUCUGUGGCUUUCUAGCUAAUCACCCUGGCAUCUGCCUGCUUGCAUGACUCCCAGGACUUUUGGUGGAAUAAGCGAAGCUAUGAAAAUACACCGGCUCACUCACAGUCUGCAAAACACAGACUGUAGAACUUCCACUGAGAGCUCUUAAAAAGAUCAAAACACCUUCUUUGCUUUAUUCACUUGGACCUGAUUUCAAGAGGCAACAGGAAAACAACAUGGAACAGCGUCCAGUAUACUUGGCAGGGUUCAUUGCCAAUUGGAAUUAACAAAACAGUCUUUGAUAUCCUGUUAUUCACACCAACACCAGAAACAUUUACCAAGUAUGAAUCUUACCUGGCCCUUGGCUGGUGUCACCACAUACAAAUGAGUCAUUAUCCUCCAAGAGGUUUUUCACUUUCUUAACCAAGGCUCAACACAACAAUGCCAGAUCCUUUAAUAUAUGGAUGGAAAUCUAUUAUUUAUGUUUACAAAUGAGCUCGUCCAUCUCCCCUGUACAAGUGCUACAGAGUUGCUGAUGUGCGAUACUUGUUCUCUUAGAAACUCUUCUUGGGAAAAACUAAGCCAGUUGACUGCAUCCAGAGGCCUGAACCCAUACUGAUUCAGCAUUUUACAUGAUGGCUCAUAUAUAAUUUUCAGAAACCAGUAUUCCCUCCAGGAGAUAGUGAGAAAACUCACCUUCAAAGAGUACAGUUUAAACUGUGUAUCGUUGAGUGGAAUAUAUAUGGACUCAAUGCCAACUUGCAAAUUCCAUGUAUAACACUACACAUUGAUUUGUCUGAGGGAAACCAAAAAUUACAAGUCAGAGGGACAAUAAUGCCCAUUCAAAACAAAUAACAGAGGUACCUACAACUGUUAUCUGCAUGGAGAUUAACAAGCUAUGUGUUCUGCCAAACCUAUCCUUCCUUCAUUGUGAAAUGGCAGCAUUGAUUAAUCACCAAAAUGUGUGCAAGUGUGUCAGCUCUAGGUAUGUUUGGUGUGAUCAGUUUUACAUCAUAGAAACAAUGGCCAUAAGUUCAUAAGCCACUUCCUAAUAAUGAGGUGAGUUCCUGGCCCUACUGUCCAGGUGUCAAUGUCAUCUGUAUCAUCACAGCCAAAUGCCUGGAAUGCUGGACUCAUAAUUCCAUAUUUCCCACCAUGCUAGAGGUCACUGUCAAUUUUGGAAAUAGAGGGAGGAUUGUUUGCAAGUUACUCUUGGCAGAAAAAAGUAAGCUGCAGUGAUCUUUGUCAGAGACGUAGGACAGAAAUGUGGGUGGGGGGAGUAACAGAGCUGGGUCGGAGUGGACAUUGGUUUUGCAGAAUUUUGACAAGGAGGUACAAGAUACAGAAUUAAAAGUAUGUGGCAGGCAGAGAAAUAGGGAGGCCUCCCUUUAAUUAUGCCUAGCUAGUUAUACUUUUCAACGUAACCAUUUUUUUUUUCCCAUUGUCUAAGUCACUAAGAAAAUUCUGUCUCCAGAGUCACAACUCUUCACAACAGGAUAACAUCCUCCCCUGAGGCCCCGCCCACCUGCCUUGAGCUUAAGCAGGAAUGUGUUGAGACUUCUCGAGUGAUGGAGCUGAAAUGAAUAGAUCUGGACCUCGAUCAUUCUCUCUG
RNAcentral lists this long non-coding RNA (1818 nucleotides) under Equus caballus (horse). Its description in RNAcentral is "lncRNA (ENSECAG00000048624.1)". Lineage: Eukaryota; Metazoa; Chordata; Mammalia; Perissodactyla; Equidae. The record is from RNAcentral.